This 253-nucleotide ribosomal RNA is filed under the name uncultured bacterium. RNAcentral describes it as "partial 16S ribosomal RNA". It matches the Rfam family "Bacterial small subunit ribosomal RNA", at positions 524 to 776 of the family's 1533-position model. The record is from RNAcentral.
UACGGAGGGAGCUAGCGUUGUUCGGAAUUACUGGGCGUAAAGAGUGUGUAGGCGGUGCUCUAAGUCUGUUGUGAAAUCUCCCGGCUUAACCGGGAGGGUGCGGCGGAAACUGGAGUGCUUGAGGGUGGGAGAGGUAAGCGGAAUUCCUGGUGUAGCGGUGAAAUGCGUAGAUAUCAGGAGGAACACCUGCGGUGUAGACGGCUUACUGGACCAUCACUGACGCUGAGGCACGAAAGCGUGGGUAGCAAACAGG